CCUACGGGGGGCAGCAGUGAGGAAUAUUGGUCAAUGGACGAGAGUCUGAACCAGCCAAGUAGCGUGAAGGAUGACGGCCCUAUGGGUUGUAAACUGCUUUUAUGCAGGAAUAAAAUGAGUCACGUGUGCCUUUUUGCAUGUACUGUAUGAAUAAGGACCGGCUAAUUCCGUGCCAGCAGCCGCGGUAAUACGGAGGGUCCGAGCGUUAUCCGGAUUUAUUGGGUUUAAAGGGAGCGUAGACGGGUCGUUAAGUGUGUUGUGAAAGUUUGCGGCUCAACCGUAGAAGUGCAAUUGAAACUGGCAGUCUUGAGUGCAGUUGAGGUAGGCGGAAUUCGUGGUGUAGCGGUGAAAUGCUUAGAUAUCACGAAGAACUCCGAUUGCGAAGGCAGCUUACUAAACUGUGACUGACAUUGAUGCUCGAAAGUGUGGGUAUCAAACAGGAUUAGAUACCCCGGUAGUC
This 460-nucleotide ribosomal RNA is filed under the name uncultured bacterium. Its description in RNAcentral is "partial 16S ribosomal RNA". It matches the Rfam family "Bacterial small subunit ribosomal RNA", at positions 338 to 795 of the family's 1533-position model. The record is from RNAcentral.